This 420-nucleotide ribosomal RNA is filed under the name uncultured fungus. RNAcentral describes it as "eukaryotic LSU rRNA". It matches the Rfam family "Eukaryotic large subunit ribosomal RNA", at positions 1 to 422 of the family's 3401-position model. Lineage: Eukaryota; Fungi. The record is from RNAcentral.
GACCUCGGAUCAGGUAGGGAUACCCGCUGAACUUAAGCAUACCAAUAAGCGGAGGAAAAGAAACCAACAGGGAUUGCCUCAGUAACGGCGAGUGAAGCGGCAACAGCUCAAAUUUGAAAUCUGGCCUUCGGGUCCGAGUUGUAAUUUGCAGAGGAUGCUUCGAGCAUGGUCUAGUCUAAGUUCCUUGGAAUAGGACGUCAUAGAGGGUGAGAAUCCCGUAUGCGACUGGGUGCCUAAGCUCAUGUGAAGCUCCUUCGACGAGUCGAGUUGUUUGGGAAUGCAGCUCAAAAUGGGUGGUAAAUUUCAUCUAAAGCUAAAUAUUGGCCGGAGACCGAUAGCGCACAAGUAGAGUGAUCGAAAGAUGAAAAGCACUUUGGAAAGAGAGUUAAAUAGCACGUGAAAUUGUUGAAAGGGAAGCGC